Molecule: ribosomal RNA, 678 nt
Filed under: Xanthomonas sp. EECC-504
Lineage: Bacteria; Pseudomonadati; Pseudomonadota; Gammaproteobacteria; Lysobacterales; Lysobacteraceae
Description: bacterial SSU rRNA
Rfam family: Bacterial small subunit ribosomal RNA
Source: RNAcentral
UGGGUGGCGAGUGGCGGACGGGUGAGGAAUACAUCGGAAUCUACCUUUUCGUGGGGGAUAACGUAGGGAAACUUACGCUAAUACCGCAUACGACCUUAGGGUGAAAGCGGAGGACCUUCGGGCUUCGCGCGGAUAGAUGAGCCGAUGUCGGAUUAGCUAGUUGGCGGGGUAAAGGCCCACCAAGGCGACGAUCCGUAGCUGGUCUGAGAGGAUGAUCAGCCACACUGGAACUGAGACACGGUCCAGACUCCUACGGGAGGCAGCAGUGGGGAAUAUUGGACAAUGGGCGCAAGCCUGAUCCAGCCAUGCCGCGUGGGUGAAGAAGGCCUUCGGGUUGUAAAGCCCUUUUGUUGGGAAAGAAAAGCAGUCGGUUAAUACCCGAUUGUUCUGACGGUACCCAAAGAAUAAGCACCGGCUAACUUCGUGCCAGCAGCCGCGGUAAUACGAAGGGUGCAAGCGUUACUCGGAAUUACUGGGCGUAAAGCGUGCGUAGGUGGUUGUUUAAGUCCGUUGUGAAAGCCCUGGGCUCAACCUGGGAAUUGCAGUGGAUACUGGGCAACUAGAGUGUGGUAGAGGAUGGCGGAAUUCCCGGUGUAGCAGUGAAAUGCGUAGAGAUCGGGAGGAACAUCUGUGGCGAAGGCGGCCAUCUGGACCAACACUGACACUGAGGCACGAAAG